GACGAACGCUGGCGGCGUGCCUAAUACAUGCGAGUAGAACGCUGAAGGAGGAGCUUGCUUCUCUGGAUGAGUUGCGAACGGGUGAGUAACGCGUAGGUAACCUGCCUGGUAGCGGGGGAUAACUAUUGGAAACGAUAGCUAAUACCGCAUAACAGUAGAUAUCGCAUGAUAUCUACUUGAAAGGUGCAAUUGCAUCACUACCAGAUGGACCUGCGUUGUAUUAGCUAGUUGGUGAGGUAACGGCUCACCAAGGCGACGAUACAUAGCCGACCUGAGAGGGUGAUCGGCCACACUGGGACUGAGACACGGCCCAGACUCCUACGGGAGGCAGCAGUAGGGAAUCUUCGGCAAUGGACGGAAGUCUGACCGAGCAACGCCGCGUGAGUGAAGAAGGUUGUCGGAUCGUAAAGCUCUGUUGUAAGAGAAGAACGAGUGUGAGAGUGGAGAGUUCACACUGUGACGGUAUCUUACCAGAAAGGGACGGCUAACUACGUG
Molecule: ribosomal RNA, 495 nt
Filed under: uncultured bacterium
Lineage: Bacteria
Description: partial 16S ribosomal RNA
Rfam family: Bacterial small subunit ribosomal RNA
Source: RNAcentral